RNAcentral lists this long non-coding RNA (498 nucleotides) under Mustela putorius furo (domestic ferret). RNAcentral describes it as "lncRNA (ENSMPUG00000030541.1)". The record is from RNAcentral. Lineage: Eukaryota; Metazoa; Chordata; Mammalia; Carnivora; Mustelidae.
UUGCAGAGUGUUCUCAUAUCCCAAAACCAGCCCACAGGGCCUUUGUCCUCUUCUUCCAGCACGUCCUGUUCCUGUUGGCAUCCUGUCCUCCUCACCAACCGCUGUCACUGGGCCAGUGGGUCAGUGCAGAGUGCUGACUGGAAACUAAAGAGAAGAAAGCCCCUCAGGAAGGUCAGGUACUUUAGAGGUGGUAUGACGAUCAACCCUGCUUUGAGCUGCGCAAAGACACUGAUGUAAAGGCGUAGGACUGACACAUUGCACGGGGAGGAAUUCACUGGAAUUCCACAGGAUCAGCUGCUUGAGCAGAGUCAGUGGAAGAGGCUCGAAGCAGACGUUGAAUUCCUGCUGCAACCGGUUGGAGAUACUCAGUGCUUAUCAUGUGCCUGGUAUGGUAUCAGGCUCUGGGGAGGCAGAGAGGAAAAGACAAGACAACAGGAACAGUUAAGUUCUAUUUUCUCAGCAAACUUCAGUGAUACAUCACAGUGUCAUCAACUCCGG